UACGAAGGGGGCUAGCGUUGUUCGGAGUUACUGGGCGUAAAGGGCGUGCAGGCGGUUUGUUAAGUCUAGGGUGAAAGCUCCCGGCUCAACUGGGAGAGGUCCUUGGAUACUGGCAGACUUGAGGAGGGUAGAGGAGAGUGGAAUUCCCGGUGUAGUGGUGAUAUGCGUAGAUAUCGGGAGGAACACCGGUGGCGAAGGCGGCGUCCUGGACCAACACUGACACUGAUGAGCGAAAGCCAGGGGAGCAAACGGG
RNAcentral lists this ribosomal RNA (253 nucleotides) under uncultured bacterium. Its description in RNAcentral is "partial 16S ribosomal RNA". It matches the Rfam family "Bacterial small subunit ribosomal RNA", at positions 524 to 776 of the family's 1533-position model. The record is from RNAcentral.